RNAcentral lists this ribosomal RNA (225 nucleotides) under uncultured Asaia sp. Its description in RNAcentral is "partial 16S ribosomal RNA". It matches the Rfam family "Bacterial small subunit ribosomal RNA", at positions 568 to 792 of the family's 1533-position model. The record is from RNAcentral. Lineage: Bacteria; Pseudomonadati; Pseudomonadota; Alphaproteobacteria; Acetobacterales; Acetobacteraceae.
CAUGCAGGCGGUUAGACAAGUCAGAUGUGAAAUUCCAGGGCUUAACCUUGGGGCUGCAUUUGAUACGUGUAGACUAGAGUGUGAGAGAGGGUUGUGGAAUUCCCAGUGUAGAGGUGAAAUUCGUAGAUAUUGGGAAGAACACCGGUGGCGAAGGCGGCAACCUGGCUCAUUACUGACGCUGAGGCGCGAAAGCGUGGGGAGCAAACAGGAUUAGAUACCCUAGUA